Molecule: transfer RNA, 66 nt
Filed under: Lipothrix lubbocki
Lineage: Eukaryota; Metazoa; Arthropoda; Collembola; Symphypleona; Sminthuridae
Description: tRNA-Met
Source: RNAcentral
UAAAAGAUAAGCUAAAUAAAGCUUUUGGGCUCAUACCUCAACUAUGAAUAAAUAAUUCUCUUUUUA